Non-coding RNA from Pelobates cultripes (western spadefoot toad), 215 nucleotides. The record is from the annotation of a GenBank genome assembly. Lineage: Eukaryota; Metazoa; Chordata; Amphibia; Anura; Pelobatidae.
CUAGCAACUAUAGUGUAAUAUAAAUUUGAGCGCUCCAAAAUUAAACAACACUUAAAAUAAGUGUUUAGUAAAAUGUCUUCAUCUCUGCAACUUUGCUGUUUUAGCCCAAACUUUGCAAUUUGCUUUUCGGUUCCCUACAAUUUAGUAUUUAGUGAAUAAACUGGUUAAAUUAAUGUUUUAUUAAUUGUUAUCUCAUCAUGCUCCCCUUAGCUGGC